GAUGAACGCUGACAGAAUGCUUAACACAUGCAAGUCGAUGGGGAAGUGGUGCUUGCACCAUGGCAACCAUGGCGGACGGGUGAGUAACGCGUAAGGGACUUACCUGCAGGACUGGGAUAACAGGGGGAAACUCCUGACAAGACCGGAUAAUGUCAUGGAGCUGCAUGGCUUUGUGAUGAAAGGAGACGCCUGCGGAGAGCCUUGCGUCCUAUUAGCUAGUUGGUGAGGUAAUGGCUCACCAAGGCGAAGAUAGGUAGCCGGCCUGAGAGGGUGGACGGCCACAAGGGGACUGAGAUACGGCCCUUACUCAUACGGGAGGCAGCAGUGGGGAAUAUUGGACAAUGGGGGCAACCCUGAUCCAGCAAUUCUGUGUGCACGAAGAAGGUUUUCGGAUUGUAAAGUGCUUUCAGAAGGGACGAAGUAAGUGACGGUACCUGCAGAAGAAGCGACGGCUAACUACGUG
RNAcentral lists this ribosomal RNA (463 nucleotides) under uncultured bacterium. RNAcentral describes it as "partial 16S ribosomal RNA". It matches the Rfam family "Bacterial small subunit ribosomal RNA", at positions 28 to 507 of the family's 1533-position model. The record is from RNAcentral.